Molecule: transfer RNA, 68 nt
Filed under: Marmota monax (woodchuck)
Lineage: Eukaryota; Metazoa; Chordata; Mammalia; Rodentia; Sciuridae
Description: tRNA.Val
Source: RNAcentral
GCUGUAGCUUAGUGGCAGAGUGCCUGCCUCACACAUGUGAGGCACUGGGUUCGAUCCUCAGCACUGCA